This is a long non-coding RNA of Oreochromis niloticus (Nile tilapia), 2292 nucleotides long. RefSeq lists it as uncharacterized. The transcript is spliced from 3 exons. The record is from RefSeq and is a predicted model, not a curated record. Lineage: Eukaryota; Metazoa; Chordata; Actinopteri; Cichliformes; Cichlidae.
ACCGUUUGACACAGCUUUACUUUAUACACAAAUUUUUAAUUUUUAUCUUGUAACUUUUUGAUUUUUCUACUUUUUCCUUUAUAAAUUCUAAAACCUGGAAUAAAAUGUAUUUUGACCAACAGAAAAAGCAGAUGGAAAUAAACAAGCCUCACUCUUUGUUUUCCUAUGUUUUGUGGAUAUAUUUUACAUCCUGAUGAUCAGAGUGUUUGACGGUUUCAAAGACCCCCACUCAGAAAAACAACCAGAAAAACAUCACAGCUGAGUCUGGACAGAACGUCACUCUGCCAUGUCGAGCUCCAAAUAACAACAAGCCCAUAGUGGUAAAGUGGAGCAGGCAUGAACAGGGACAGUAUGUCUUGAUGUACCGAGAUGAACAGUUUGAUCCAGACGACCAGCAUCCAUCUUUUAAGAACCGGGUGGAUCUGCAGGACAGACAGAUGAAGGAUGGAGACCUGUCUUUGAUUCUGAACAAUGUGACAAUUAAUGACACUGGAAUUUACAGAUGUGGUAUUGUUGAGGGAGUCAGACAACCUAUGAAGCUCAUCAGCAUCAUCUACCUUCAUGUUGAUCCUCCAGGUCAGACAGGAGGACACACAGAGGAUGGAGGGAAGACGAAUGGAUCUGUUGGACCCAAAGUUGGUCUGCCAGUCUCUGCUGUGCUUCUUGUUGCUGCUCUUGUUGUUGUUGUUUUGACCUAAAGGAAACAUAAGAGUUAAAACAGAGUCAGAUUUCAUACCAGCCUUCUAGUGAUUUGUGGCAGAUUUGAGAUCAGUUCAACAUGCAGAAUGACAGAUGAAAGAACGGCAGAAACAGCUGACAAUAAUAAUAAAUCAGCCGACAGAGGUCAUUAAACAACUACUGAAUUUGUUCUUCAGUGUUUUUGUGCAAGACAAACAUUUAAUCAAAGAUCAGUGCACUCUACCACCUGAAGACUAACACUGUGAUCACACUUGAACAGACAGAUGGCCAUGUUAGUCAUAAAAAGGUUCAGUAUAAUCCAACAUUAAGACAGUAAAGACAAAUCACACAGAGAUCCUGUGCAGCUUGAAUAAUAAUCAGAAAAAAUAAAGAUGACUGACAGUGCAUUAUUAACACUUGUAACAGUGAAUAAAUGUCUAAUAUCAAUAGACUAGUCUAAAACAGCUACACCGAAGUAGUCUGGUAACUGACAGCAUUUUUUACCUGCUGUAUUUCUUUUUAAUAUUAUCUUUAAAUUCUUCAUCACAAAUGAGUCAUCUAUGACACAACAGCAGUUCAAUAUUUCAGUUGAAGCAGUACAACAUUUAUGGAGUAAAGAAGACUGAUAUUGAUCAGAAUAUAUUUAUAGUUUCUCUUUCUGUAUUUUUCAGUGAUUUAGUGGAAUUUGUGUCAAGAAGAAAAACUCUGCUGCAUAAAUUGAUUCAUUUUGUUUCCUCUUUUGCAACAGCAUCUAAGCCAGUCACUAAAAUAAAGGUACAGUUUGGCAAAUAUUAAAGUAGUAUUGGUUUCCUUUUUGUUUUCAACAGAAAGGAUUUUGUUUAAACUUAUUCAUGUCCAUGAUUUCAGUGUCCUGUAUGUAAGAGUAUCAGAAUCAGUGACUGUGUUUUAUCUUCAGGUUUUAUCAAAAAAGACUAGAAAUCAGCAGUAUUACAGUAUUAUGUCUGUCUGAUCCACCUGACCACAAACACACUGCAUGUGAUUAUCUAAGUGUUGAUCUGUGAGUUACAGUAGUAACAUACAGUGUUUACUGUUUGCUAUAAUUUAACAUGAGAGCGACAAAAAAAACUGACAUCUUCUGCUCACUGACACUUUAACACCAGCUGAACUUGAAUCCAACCAGUUUCCUCAGUUUUAACAUGUACUGGUGUGCAGUGAUGCACUGGUGCACCAGUCACCUUUCCCAUAUCAUUGACUGACACAAAUGUUAGACUGACUUUAUGUACUGAUCAAUAAAUGAUCUGCAUCCUUCAGCCUCGUGUUCUUCUCAGCUGUCUCAUCAUCUUUAUCAGACUCUACACAUCAUUUGUAAAUAUUACUCAGAUGAUCAGUCCUCUCUGUCUCUGUUGUAGUGAAAUAACACUGGACUUAGUAAGAAGCUGUUAAGGUUUUGAAGAAAUACUAAAGUCUUUGAUGACUGGAAAAUUUUAGGAACUAAAGGAACCCCCCUUCCCUUUACUGCGGAGCCAGUGUUUGGUUUUGUUGUUAAAAUUACAGGAGACAAUCUUGCUUUAAAUGGCUUACUAGGUUUUGUAGAAUCGCCAUCAAAUGAUUGAUGUCAUAUCUCAGAGACAAUCUUACAAUACCAUCUUUUAC